This 21-nucleotide small nuclear RNA is filed under the name Arabidopsis thaliana (thale cress). Its description in RNAcentral is "snRNA_03074". Lineage: Eukaryota; Viridiplantae; Streptophyta; Magnoliopsida; Brassicales; Brassicaceae. The record is from RNAcentral.
CGAAGACUCGCAACUCCAUCA